Panicum hallii is the source of this 1048-nucleotide long non-coding RNA. RefSeq lists it as uncharacterized. The record is from RefSeq and is a predicted model, not a curated record. Lineage: Eukaryota; Viridiplantae; Streptophyta; Magnoliopsida; Poales; Poaceae. The transcript is spliced from 4 exons.
CCCCCAACUGCUCGGCGGCGCCGCAGCGGCAGCCGGCAGCGGGCGGAGGCGGCCACACUGCCGCUCCUCCACGCACACCGCACCACGCCACCGCCCUCAAGCCUCUCGUGCCCCCAUCCAAGCCACAGCCACAGCCAUCGCCUGGCCCCAACCCCCACGCCGCCACGCACGGGCUGCCGCGUCCUGUUGCCACCCCGCUCCUUCAGGAGUCAGUCCGCAAAACCGCCGAUCUGUGGCUGGAGCUGAUGCUUCCCUGCCAUCCCUGGAAGUCUGGAGCGGCGGUGUAUAAUGACCUCCCUCGGUGCUCGGUCAGCAACUCAGCACUAGUGAUGUUGCAGCUGGCCGUUCUUUCUGUCACCAGUCACCGAGCUACACGGAGCCCAGAUUCGCGCUAAAGGGGCAAUUAAUCUUUUUAGUAUCACAGGCAAAGAUCUGCGUCAAGCUGACAGACGGGCAAGCCGCGAACGUCUGGGUGAUGGUUGCUUUCAGGGGAUUUAUUCUGUGAGAAGGCAUUUCGGUGGAUGCUGAACACACGAGGCAAGAAAAUUUUCCGAAGCCAAUUUUUGGAUGAUGCGGACGUGUACGAUAAUCUAUUAACUCCUAAAAGUGUUAUCUGCAUCCUUGAGCAAGACAAAACUUGAAAACUACCUGUUGAUGACCUAGGAACUACAGCAAACUCCUAUUCUGGGCAAUGUAGGUUGUCGCGGGCUAGAGCUGUCCAAAUGGUGAAUGGAAUCUGCUGAGCUCACAAGUUAUCACAAUUGUUUCAGCUUUGACUACGGCUGGAGGAAGAUGGUGGUUGAUUGCACCAAACUUGGACGAUGGGUACCUUUACUACUACUACUUGGUUCUUGCAGUCAUUUGCCUGAAGAAUUCUGUUGCAUAUGUACUGCUUUGCUGUAAGCAUGGAAAAUAUGGAUGCCCCCCCCCUUUCCCCCCGGUGCACAAGCUAAAUCGCUUUCUUGCUUAGCAUGCAAAUUAUGGGUGACUUUGUUGGCCUCCAGUUGAAUUCAAACUUUCGGUGGUUUGAUUCAUAUAUAAGUUUUCA